Molecule: long non-coding RNA, 676 nt
Organism: Ictalurus punctatus (channel catfish)
Lineage: Eukaryota; Metazoa; Chordata; Actinopteri; Siluriformes; Ictaluridae
Source: Ensembl
UUGCCUUGGAACGUUCGCAUUGCAUCGUCGCUCACUACGUUCCCUUACUGGAAAUAACAUCAUGUUUUCUGAAGCCUCUCAGCUCGAAAACAAAUGGGGACGAACUCUCAGCCAACUUCCGACUACAAAUAUUUGUCCUGAUUUGGAUGUUGUGGCUGGGGAAACCAAAGAGGAAGGCAUAUCAUGCAAAUGUCACGUCAUCAGCUCGGGCCACCAGCCUAAAAUAUUGGAUGCAUUUUGCUUCCAGCUGUCUGUAGGGCAAAUGCUGCUCCGCUGACCCGAGAUCAUCCUGACUGUGCUGUUUUAGUGGUUACUCUGACUCCCAGGGGUCAACAGUGGAUCACUUUCUGCCCUCCAGCAGUGAGAGUAGGUGCUAAUGGUGAGUGAGAGGUGUCGUGUGAGUGUAGAAGACUGACCGUAAAUGCCCAGCACAAGGCUCACGUCUGGGUAAAUGCUUUGUCAGGGUAAGUAAUGCUACCCCACCCUGUCUCCCUUCUCUGCUGUCUAUCCCGCCCAUCAGUUGAGUCAUAACAUAUGUGCACACCCACACACACACACUUACACACCCACAUGCAUACACACGCACUAAGUGACAGUGCCAAUCAUGAUUCACAGGGCUGAGGGUUUGCACUAUAUGCUAGAUUAGCAUUGUGUUCUGGGAAGCCAGUAGACAUCC